CCUACGGGAGGCAGCAGUGAGGAAUAUUGGUCAAUGGGCUUACGCCUGAACCAGCCAAGUCGCGUGAGGGAAGACUGCCCUAUGGGUUGUAAACCUCUUUUGUCAGGGAGCAACGCCGGCUACGUGUAGCCGGACUGAGAGUACCUGAAGAAAAAGCAUCGGCUAACUCCGUGCCAGCAGCCGCGGUAAUACGGAGGAUGCGAGCGUUAUCCGGAUUUAUUGGGUUUAACGGGUGCGUAGGCGGAAUGCCAAGUCAGCGGUAAAAUCGCGGGGCUCAACCUCGCUCCGCCGUUGAAACUGGAGUUUUUGAGUGGGCGAGAAGUAGGCGGAAGGGGUGGUGUAGCGGUGAAGUGCAAAGAUAUCACGCAGCACUCGGAUUG
Molecule: ribosomal RNA, 380 nt
Filed under: uncultured bacterium
Lineage: Bacteria
Description: partial 16S ribosomal RNA
Rfam family: Bacterial small subunit ribosomal RNA
Source: RNAcentral